RNAcentral lists this ribosomal RNA (1489 nucleotides) under Lactiplantibacillus plantarum. RNAcentral describes it as "bacterial SSU rRNA". It matches the Rfam family "Bacterial small subunit ribosomal RNA". Lineage: Bacteria; Bacillati; Bacillota; Bacilli; Lactobacillales; Lactobacillaceae. The record is from RNAcentral.
GACGAACGCUGGCGGCGUGCCUAAUACAUGCAAGUCGAACGAACUCUGGUAUUGAUUGGUGCUUGCAUCAUGAUUUACAUUUGAGUGAGUGGCGAACUGGUGAGUAACACGUGGGAAACCUGCCCAGAAGCGGGGGAUAACACCUGGAAACAGAUGCUAAUACCGCAUAACAACUUGGACCGCAUGGUCCGAGUUUGAAAGAUGGCUUCGGCUAUCACUUUUGGAUGGUCCCGCGGCGUAUUAGCUAGAUGGUGGGGUAACGGCUCACCAUGGCAAUGAUACGUAGCCGACCUGAGAGGGUAAUCGGCCACAUUGGGACUGAGACACGGCCCAAACUCCUACGGGAGGCAGCAGUAGGGAAUCUUCCACAAUGGACGAAAGUCUGAUGGAGCAACGCCGCGUGAGUGAAGAAGGGUUUCGGCUCGUAAAACUCUGUUGUUAAAGAAGAACAUAUCUGAGAGUAACUGUUCAGGUAUUGACGGUAUUUAACCAGAAAGCCACGGCUAACUACGUGCCAGCAGCCGCGGUAAUACGUAGGUGGCAAGCGUUGUCCGGAUUUAUUGGGCGUAAAGCGAGCGCAGGCGGUUUUUUAAGUCUGAUGUGAAAGCCUUCGGCUCAACCGAAGAAGUGCAUCGGAAACUGGGAAACUUGAGUGCAGAAGAGGACAGUGGAACUCCAUGUGUAGCGGUGAAAUGCGUAGAUAUAUGGAAGAACACCAGUGGCGAAGGCGGCUGUCUGGUCUGUAACUGACGCUGAGGCUCGAAAGUAUGGGUAGCAAACAGGAUUAGAUACCCUGGUAGUCCAUACUGUAAACGAUGAAUGCUAAGUGUUGGAGGGUUUCCGCCCUUCAGUGCUGCAGCUAACGCAUUAAGCAUUCCGCCUGGGGAGUACGGCCGCAAGGCUGAAACUCAAAGGAAUUGACGGGGGCCCGCACAAGCGGUGGAGCAUGUGGUUUAAUUCGAAGCUACGCGAAGAACCUUACCAGGUCUUGACAUACUAUGCAAAUCUAAGAGAUUAGACGUUCCCUUCGGGGACAUGGAUACAGGUGGUGCAUGGUUGUCGUCAGCUCGUGUCGUGAGAUGUUGGGUUAAGUCCCGCAACGAGCGCAACCCUUAUUAUCAGUUGCCAGCAUUAAGUUGGGCACUCUGGUGAGACUGCCGGUGACAAACCGGAGGAAGGUGGGGAUGACGUCAAAUCAUCAUGCCCCUUAUGACCUGGGCUACACACGUGCUACAAUGGAUGGUACAACGAGUUGCGAACUCGCGAGAGUAAGCUAAUCUCUUAAAGCCAUUCUCAGUUCGGAUUGUAGGCUGCAACUCGCCUACAUGAAGUCGGAAUCGCUAGUAAUCGCGGAUCAGCAUGCCGCGGUGAAUACGUUCCCGGGCCUUGUACACACCGCCCGUCACACCAUGAGAGUUUGUAACACCCAAAGUCGGUGGGGUAACCUUUUAGGAACCAGCCGCCUAAGGUGGGACAGAUGAUUAGGGUG